RNAcentral lists this unclassified non-coding RNA (382 nucleotides) under uncultured bacterium. RNAcentral describes it as "contains 16S-23S intergenic spacer region". The record is from RNAcentral.
UCCUGGUUUCCCAGGCAGUCUCAUCAGAGUGCCUUCGUUAGAAGUAGCAACUGAUGACAAGAGUUGCGCUCGUUAAAGGACUUAACCCAACAUCUCACGACACGAGCUGACGACAGCCAUGCAGCACCUGUGUAUUUGUUCAGGUUUCCCUGAAAAACCCUAUUUCUAGGGCGGUCAAAUACAUGUCAAACCUAGGUAAGGUUCCUCGCGUAGUGUCGAAUUAAACCACAUGUUCCACCGCUUGUGCGGACCCCCGUCAAUUUCUUUGAGUUUUAAUCUUGCGACCGUACUCCCCAGGCGGAUCACUUAACGCGUUAGCUACGACACUAAAUCUGCAAAGCAGAUUUAACGUCUAGUGAUCAUCGUUUACGGCGUGGACUAC